RNAcentral lists this ribosomal RNA (253 nucleotides) under uncultured bacterium. RNAcentral's name for it is "partial 16S ribosomal RNA". It matches the Rfam family "Bacterial small subunit ribosomal RNA", at positions 524 to 776 of the family's 1533-position model. The record is from RNAcentral.
UACGAAGGGGGCUAGCGUUGCUCGGAAUCACUGGGCGUAAAGGGUGCGUAGGCGGGUUUUUGAGUCAGGGGUGAAAUCCUGGAGCUCAACUCCAGAACUGCCUUUGAUACUGAAGAUCUUGAGUCCGGGAGAGGUGAGUGGAACUGCGAGUGUAGAGGUGAAAUUCGUAGAUAUUCGCAAGAACACCAGUGGCGAAGGCGGCUCACUGGCCCGGUACUGACGCUGAGGCACGAAAGCGUGGGGAGCAAACAGG